Molecule: ribosomal RNA, 482 nt
Filed under: uncultured bacterium
Lineage: Bacteria
Description: bacterial SSU rRNA
Rfam family: Bacterial small subunit ribosomal RNA
Source: RNAcentral
AUUGAACGCUGGCGGCAGGCCUAACACAUGCAAGUCGAGCGAGAAAGGUCUUCGGACUGAGUACAGCGGCGGACGGGUGAGUAAUGCGCAGGAAUCUACCUGGUAGUGGGGGAUAACUCGGGGAAACUCGAACUAAUACCGCAUACGCCUACGGGGAAAGCGGGGACCGUUCGGGCCGUCGCGCUAUCAGAUGAGCCUGCGUAGGAUUAGCUUGUUGGUUGAGGUAAAGGACGUCACCAAGGCGACGAUCCUUAGCUGGUCUGAGAGGAUGAUCAGCCACACUGGAACUGAGACACGGUCCAGACUCCUACGGGAGGCAGCAGUGGGGAAGUAUUGCGCAAUGGGCGAAAGCCUGACGCAGCCAUGCCGCGUGUGUGAAGAAGGCCCUUGGGUUGUAAAGCGCUUUCACCUGUGAUGAUGAUGACAGUAGCAGGAGAAGAAGCCCCGGCUAACUCCGUGCCAGCAGCCGCGGUUAAAGUCAG